RNAcentral lists this ribosomal RNA (253 nucleotides) under uncultured bacterium. RNAcentral describes it as "partial 16S ribosomal RNA". It matches the Rfam family "Bacterial small subunit ribosomal RNA", at positions 524 to 776 of the family's 1533-position model. The record is from RNAcentral.
AACGUAGGAGACAAACGUUAUCCGGAGUUACUGGGCGUAAAGGGCGUGUAGGUGGUUUCGUAAGUCUGGCGUGAAAUCUCUCGGCUCAACCGGGAGAGGUUGUCCGAUACUGCUGGACUUGAGGGCAGUAGAGGGUGGUGGAAUUCCGGGUGUAGUGGUGAAAUGCGUAGAUAUCGGGAGGAACACCGUUGGCGAAGGCGACUUUCUGGGCUGCUACUGACGCUGAGGCGCGAAAGUCAGGGGAGCGAACAGG